CCAGAGUGUGAAUGCUUAGUUGUGACUGACAGUGUAACACCAAAGGCUAUGCACUGAUUUCACCUCUGUCUCGUUUUUGUAGCUGAAUGAUGGCGCUUGGAGUUGAUUUAUUGGUGCUUUGCUUGGUAUCAGUCUGCUACACUGAUGUAGGACUGAGUGCUGGCAUUGGCUUUCCUGUAAAAUAUAAGUUGGCUGCUGGAUCUUCUGGCAGCAGCUCUGGGUCCAGCCAGGCACAAGUGGCAAAGAGCGCUUGUGGGUCUGACCAAGGCACGGGAUCCUUCUCCUACUUGACCAGCACUGUAGGUUCCCAGAAUGGCCAAGAAUCUUUUCAGUAUGUGGCAGUCCAGCCUCUCUCAGAUCCUGUUCCUCCUAAUGAUCCUACAGUACUUAUAGGCUCUACUAGGGUACAGGGGGUAGUGCCCCAGCGAGUGCU
Molecule: long non-coding RNA, 433 nt
Organism: Brienomyrus brachyistius
Lineage: Eukaryota; Metazoa; Chordata; Actinopteri; Osteoglossiformes; Mormyridae
Exons: 3
Source: RefSeq, a predicted model, not a curated record